This 607-nucleotide ribosomal RNA is filed under the name uncultured bacterium. RNAcentral describes it as "bacterial SSU rRNA". The stretch from base 1 to 520 matches the Rfam family "Bacterial small subunit ribosomal RNA", at positions 338 to 873 of the family's 1533-position model. The record is from RNAcentral.
CCUACGGGAGGCAGCAGUGGGGAAUCUUGCGCAAUGGGCGAAAGCCUGACGCAGCAACGCCGCGUGCGGGAAGAAGGCCUUCGGGUUGUAAACCGCUUUCAGAAGGAACGAAAAUGACGGUACUUUCAGAAGAAGGUGCGGCCAACUACGUGCCAGCAGCCGCGGUGACACGUAGGCACCAAGCGUUGUCCGGAUUUAUUGGGCGUAAAGAGCUCGUAGGCGGUUCGGUAAGUCAGAUGUGAAAACUUUGGGCUCAACCCAAAGCCUGCAUCUGAUACUGCUGUGACUUGAGUUCGGUAGGGGAGUGGGGAAUUCCUAGUGUAGCGGUGAAAUGCGCAGAUAUUAGGAGGAACACCGGUGGCGAAGGCGCCACUCUGGGCCGAAACUGACGCUGAGGAGCGAAAGCGUGGGUAGCAAACAGGAUUAGAUACCCUGGUAGUCCACGCCGUAAACGUUGGGCACUAGGUGUGGGUUCCAACCACGGAAUCCGCGCCGUCGCCAACGCAUUAAGUGCCCCGCCGUCGGGAGGUACGGUCGCGACGAACUAAACCUACAACUAGAAGUAGACGGCGUGAGACGNGCCGACGGACGACGACGAGGGAGUAGG